GCCGGCUUAGCUCAGUGGUAGAGCGUCUGUCUCGUAAACAGAAGGCCGCAGGUUCGAUCCCUGCAGUCGGCA
Molecule: non-coding RNA, 72 nt
Organism: Steinernema glaseri
Lineage: Eukaryota; Metazoa; Nematoda; Chromadorea; Rhabditida; Steinernematidae
Source: Rfam